Molecule: ribosomal RNA, 271 nt
Filed under: uncultured bacterium
Lineage: Bacteria
Description: partial 16S ribosomal RNA
Rfam family: Bacterial small subunit ribosomal RNA
Source: RNAcentral
GCAAGUCGAGCGGGGGCUUGUUGGUAGCAAUAUUGACAAGUUCUAGCGGCGAAAGGGUGCGUAACACGUGGGUAAUCUACCGUGAAGACUGGGAUAACCUACCGAAAGGUAAGCUAAUACCGGAUGUGACUCCGGGGGGGAAUCCUCCUGGAAUGGAAGCUGGGGAUCCUUCGGGACCUGGCGCUUUACGAUGAGCCCGCGGCCUAUCAGCUUGUUGGCGGGGUAAAAGCCCACCAAGGCUAAGACGGGUAGCUGGUCUGAGAGGACGAUC